RNAcentral lists this ribosomal RNA (387 nucleotides) under Stramenopiles sp. MAST-9A. RNAcentral's name for it is "partial small subunit ribosomal RNA". It matches the Rfam family "Eukaryotic small subunit ribosomal RNA", at positions 582 to 975 of the family's 1831-position model. The record is from RNAcentral.
AUUCCAGCUCCAAUAGCGUAUAUUAAAGUUGUUGCAGUUAAAAAGCUCGUAGUUGGAUUUCUUGUAUAUGAAGCGGGUCGGCUCAAAGAGUCUGUACUAGCUUUCAUAUACAAUCCUCGUAACAAGCUAUUGAAUGAUUAAAUUCUUUCGUUAGUGAGUUGCGUCAUUUACUGUGAACAAAUUAGAGUGUUUAAAGCAGGCAAAUGCUGUGAAUACAUUAGCAUGGAAUAAUAAGAUAGGACCUAGAGUCUAUUUUGUUGGUUGCGAUUUUAGGUAAUGAUUAAUAGGGAUAGUUGGGGGUAUUCAUAUUCAAUUGUCAGAGGUGAAAUUCUUGGAUUUAUGGAAGAUGAACAACUGCGAAAGCAUUCACCAAGGAUGUUUUCAUUA